Non-coding RNA from Aedes albopictus (Asian tiger mosquito), 119 nucleotides. Lineage: Eukaryota; Metazoa; Arthropoda; Insecta; Diptera; Culicidae. The record is from Rfam.
UGCCCAGCAGCUCCUAUCCCUACCUCCUCGUGAUAUCGGCCGGAAACUAUGAGCAACCUUAGGGAAGAUCCGGUAACUAACCCCGGUGGGAAAUUUGGUCGUAGGCUGACAAGGAAAGG